ACCUCUGCCAUCACUUUAAAAUACACUCCUUCAGCAAUAGAGGUUUCAUUAAAAUGGAGGUUAAUUUGAAAUUUAAAACUCUCAUCGAGAUAUGUAAUUUGCAUUUAAUAGAUAUCAGAGCUUCAUAUUCAUAUAAAAUUUCAUCUUCUCUCCAUUCUUCACUUUCAGCAGGCGAAUUCAAAAUUUGAGAGGGUUUCUGUUUUUAGUUUCAGCAGUUGGAUUGAGAUGUCACGACCCUAAAUUUGCUUCCUGAGUCAUAGACAACCCUAAAGAGAAAGAGGAGAAGGAGAGUCUCCGAAGAUUACCUCGUGGGCAUAAUCAUAUUCCAAUAUCUACAAUUUCGAUGCCAUUGCCGAUCGAUCUAAACAUUUCAAAACCCUCAAUCGGAUCCAUCAAACUCUACUUAUCAAACAACAAAUGGUGAUAUUAGAAUCGCGUAUCACAACUCCUCAGAUGGG
This 458-nucleotide long non-coding RNA is filed under the name Helianthus annuus (common sunflower). The record is from RNAcentral. Lineage: Eukaryota; Viridiplantae; Streptophyta; Magnoliopsida; Asterales; Asteraceae.